AUCAACUUUCGAUGGUAGGAUAGAGGCCUACCAUGGUGGUAACGGGUAACGGGGUGUUAGGGCACGACACCGGAGAGGGAGCCUGAGAAACGGCUACCACAUCCAAGGAUGGCAGCAGGCGCGCAAAUUACCCAAUCCCGACACGGGGAGGUAGUGACAAUAAAUAACAAUACGGGGUCCUUUCGGGUUUCGUAAUUGGAAUGAGUACAAUUUAAAUCUCUUAACGAGGAACAAUUGGAGGGCAAGUCUGGUGCCAGCAGCCGCGGUAAUUCCAGCUCCAAUAGCGUAUAUUAAAGUUGUUGCAGUUAAAAAGCUCGUAGUUGAAUUUCGGGAUCAGUACGUUGGUCGUGCCUCUGGUAUGUACUGGUGUUACUGGUUCCUCCCUUCUGAAGAACUGUCAUGUCAUUUAUUUGGUGUGGCGGGGAAUCAGGACUGUUACUUUGAAAAAAUUAGAGUGUUUAAAGCAGGCUCGCGCUUGAAUACAUUAGCAUGGAAUAAUGAAAUAGGACGUUUGAUCCUAUUUUGUUGGUUUCUAGGAUUGACGUAAUGAUUAAUAGGGAUAGUUGGGGGCAUUAGUAUUCAAUUGUCAGAGGUGAAAUUCUUGGAUUUAUUGAAGACUAACUACUGCGAAAGCAUUUGCCAAGGAUGUUUUCAUUAAUCAAGAACGAAAGUUAGGGGAUCGAAGACGAUCAGAUACCGUCGUAGUCUUAACCAUAAACUAUGCCGACUAGGGAUCGGAUGAUGUUAAUUUUUUAAUGACUCAUUCGGCGCCUUACGGGAAACCAAAGUGUUUGGGUUC
This 799-nucleotide ribosomal RNA is filed under the name uncultured Glomeromycotina. RNAcentral's name for it is "SSU rRNA". It matches the Rfam family "Eukaryotic small subunit ribosomal RNA", at positions 314 to 1114 of the family's 1831-position model. The record is from RNAcentral. Lineage: Eukaryota; Fungi; Glomeromycota.